Molecule: RNA transcript, 832 nt
Organism: Dipodomys ordii (Ord's kangaroo rat)
Lineage: Eukaryota; Metazoa; Chordata; Mammalia; Rodentia; Heteromyidae
Gene name: homeobox protein OTX2 pseudogene
Exons: 2
Source: RefSeq, a predicted model, not a curated record
AUGAUGUCUUAUCUUAAGCAACCGCCUUACGCAGUCAAUGGGCUGAGUCUGACCACUUUGGGUAUGGACUUGCUGCACUCCUCCGUGGGGUACCCCGCCACACCCCGGAAACAGCAGCGGGAGGGGACCACGUUCAACUGUGCACAGCUCGAUGUGCUCGAAGCGCUGUUUGCCAAGAACCCGGUACCCAGACAUCUUCAUGCAGGAGGAAGUGGCUCUGAAAAUCAACUUGCCCGAAUCCAGAGUGCAGGUAUGGUUUAAGAAUCGAAGAGCUGGGCUGGGAAGAGCUAAGUGUCGUCAACAACAGCAGCAACAACAGAAUGGAGGUCAAAAUAAAGUGAGGCCUGCCAAAAAGAAGACAUCUCCACCUCAGGAAGUGAGUUCAGAGAGUGGAACAAGUGGCCAGUUCACUCCCCUCUCUAGCACCUCAGUCCCCACCAUUGCCAGCAGCAGUGCUCCUGUGUCUAUCUGGAGCCCAGCUUCCAUCUCCCCACUGUCAGACCCCUUAUCCACCUCCUCUUCCUGCAUGCAGAGGUCCUAUCCCAUGACCUAUACUCAGGCUUCAGGUUAUAGUCAAGGAUAUGCUGGCUCAACUUCCUACUUUGGGGGCAUGGACUGUGGAUCUUAUUUGACCCCUAUGCAUCACCAGCUUCCUGGACCAGGGGCCACACUCAGUCCUAUGGGUACCAAUGCAGUUACCAGCCAUCUCAAUCAGUCCCCAGCUUCUCUUCCCACCCAGGGAUAUGGAGCUUCAAGCUUGGGUUUUAACUCCACCACUGAUUGCUUGGAUUAUAAAGAUCAGACAUCCUCAUGGAAAUUCCAGGUUUUGUGA